This 468-nucleotide ribosomal RNA is filed under the name uncultured bacterium. RNAcentral's name for it is "partial 16S ribosomal RNA". It matches the Rfam family "Bacterial small subunit ribosomal RNA", at positions 28 to 507 of the family's 1533-position model. The record is from RNAcentral.
GACGAACGCUGGCGGCGUGCUUAACACAUGCAAGUCGAACGGAAAGGCCCUGCUUUUGUGGGGUGCUCGAGUGGCGAACGGGUGAGUAACACGUGAGUAACCUGCCCUUGACUUUGGGAUAACUUCAGGUAACUGGGGCUAACACCGGAUAGGAGCUCCUGCUGCAUGGUGGGGGCUGGAAAGUUUCGGCGGUUGGGGUUGGACGCGCGGCUUAUCAGCUUGUUGGUGGGGUAGUGGCUUACCAAGGCUUUGACGGGUAGCCGGCAUGGGUGGGUGACCGGGCACAUUGGGACUGAGAUACGGCCCAGACGCCUACGGGAGGCAGCAGUGGGGAAUAUUGCACAGUGGGCGGAAGCCUGAUGCGGCAACGCCGCGUGCGGGAUGACGGCCUUCGGGUUGUAAACCGCUUUCGCCUGUGACGAAGCGUGAGUGACGGUAAUGGGUAAAGAAGCACCGGCUAACCACGUG